Non-coding RNA from Cricetulus griseus (Chinese hamster), 283 nucleotides. The record is from Rfam. NCBI's taxonomy places the organism in Eukaryota, Metazoa, Chordata, Mammalia, Rodentia, Cricetidae.
ACACGAGGGUGAUGUGACUGUAAUGUCUGUUGCUCCAUUGAAGUCAAUAUGGCUGCCCCUUCCCUCCCUCAGUGUUCUAUGUGGGUGUCUCCCAAAGCUAGGUGCGUGGUCAUAGUUGGUUUUCCCUACUCAUAUAUCCUUAACUGUUCUGUCAAGGAUAUAUGAGUAGUUCUGCUCUUCUGCUAGAACCUCCAAACAAACUCAAGAAUGGUGCUGGAGCCAGAGAGAUGGCUCAGCAGGUCAAGGCCCUUGCUGCCAAGACUGACUACCUGAGUUCACUUCU